RNAcentral lists this ribosomal RNA (773 nucleotides) under uncultured archaeon. RNAcentral's name for it is "bacterial SSU rRNA". It matches the Rfam family "Archaeal small subunit ribosomal RNA", at positions 6 to 785 of the family's 1478-position model. The record is from RNAcentral.
GGUUGAUCCUGCCAGACCUGACUGCUAUCGGAUUGAUACUAAGCCAUGCGAGUCGUUGUAGCAAUACAAGGCAUACGGCUCAGUAACGCGUAGUCAACCUAACCUAUGGACGGGAAUAACCUCGGGAAACUGAGAAUAAUGCCCGAUAGAACAUUAUGCCUGGAAUGGUUUAUGUUCCAAAUGAUUUAUCGCCAUAGGAUGGGACUGCGGCCUAUCAGUUUGUUGGUGAGGUAAUGGCCCACCAAGACUAUUACAGGUACGGGCUCUGAGAGGAGUAGCCCGGAGAUGGGUACUGAGACACGGACCCAGGCCCUAUGGGGCGCAGCAGGCGAGAAAACUUUGCAAUGUGCGAAAGCACGACAAGGUUAAUCCGAGUGAUUUCUGCUAAAGAGAUCUUUUGUUAGUCCUAGAAACACUAACGAAUAAGGGGUGGGCAAGUUCUGGUGUCAGCCGCCGCGGUAAAACCAGCACCUCAAGUGGUCAGGAUGAUUAUUGGGCCUAAAGCAUCCGUAGCCGGCUCUGUAAGUUUUCGGUUAAAUCUGUACGCUCAACGUACAGGCUGCCGGGAAUACUGCAGAACUAGGGAGUGGGAGAGGUAGACGGUACUCGGUAGGAAGUGGUAAAAUGCUUUGAUCUAUCGAUGACCACCUGUGGCGAAGGCGGUCUACCAGAACACGUCCGACGGUGAGGGAUGAAAGCUGGGGGAGCAAACCGGAUUAGAUACCCGGGUAGUCCCAGCUGUAAACUAUGCAAACUCAGUGAAUGCAUUGGCU